Molecule: ribosomal RNA, 235 nt
Filed under: uncultured bacterium
Lineage: Bacteria
Description: partial 16S ribosomal RNA
Rfam family: Bacterial small subunit ribosomal RNA
Source: RNAcentral
UGGCGGACGGGUGAGUAAUGUCUGGGAAACUGCCCGAUGGAGGGGGAUAACUACUGGAAACGGUAGCUAAUACCGCAUAACGUCGCAAGACCAAAGAGGGGGACCCUCGGGCCUCUUGCCAUCGGAUGUGCCCAGAUGGGAUUAGCUAGUAGGUGGGGUAACGGCUCACCUAGGCGACGAUCCCUAGCUGGUCUGAGAGGAUGACCAGCCACACUGGAACUGAGACACGGCCCAG